AUUGAACGCUGGCGGCAUGCCUUACACAUGCAAGUCGAACGGUAACAGGUCUUCGGAUGCUGACGAGUGGCGAACGGGUGAGUAAUACAUCGGAACGUGCCUAGUAGUGGGGGAUAACUACUCGAAAGAGUGGCUAAUACCGCAUGAGAUCUACGGAUGAAAGCAGGGGAUCGCAAGACCUUGUGCUACUAGAGCGGCCAAUGGCAGAUUAGGUAGUUGGUGGGGUAAAAGCUUACCAAGCCGACGAUCUGUAGCUGGUCUGAGAGGACGAUCAGCCACACUGGGACUGAGACACGGCCCAGACUCCUACGGGAGGCAGCAGUGGGGAAUUUUGGACAAUGGGCGCAAGCCUGAUCCAGCAAUGCCGCGUGCAGGAUGAAGGCCUUCGGGUUGUAAACUGCUUUUGUACGGAACGAAAAGCCCCGGGUUAAUACCCUGGGGUCAUGACGGUACCGUAAGAAUAAGCACCGGCUAACUACGUGCCAGCCGCCGCCGUAA
RNAcentral lists this ribosomal RNA (498 nucleotides) under uncultured bacterium. RNAcentral describes it as "partial 16S ribosomal RNA". It matches the Rfam family "Bacterial small subunit ribosomal RNA", at positions 30 to 523 of the family's 1533-position model. The record is from RNAcentral.